UACGGAGGGUGCGAGCGUUAAUCGGAAUUACUGGGCGUAAAGCGUGCGUAGGCGGUUUGAUAAGUCGGGUGUGAAAGCCCCGGGCUUAACCUGGGAAUUGCAUUCGAUACUGUCUGACUCGAGUCUGGGAGAGGGAAGCGGAAUUCCGGGUGUAGCGGUGAAAUGCGUAGAUAUCCGGAGGAACAUCAGUGGCGAAAGCGGCUCUCUGGACCACAACUGACGCUGAGGCGCGAAAGCUAGGGGAGCAAACAGG
Molecule: ribosomal RNA, 253 nt
Filed under: uncultured bacterium
Lineage: Bacteria
Description: partial 16S ribosomal RNA
Rfam family: Bacterial small subunit ribosomal RNA
Source: RNAcentral